UACGUGGGGUGCGAGCGUUAUCCGGAUUUACUGGGCGUAAAGCGUACCGUCGGCGACUUGGUAAGUCUUUUGUCUAAGCCUGGGGCUCAACUCCAGAUCGGCAGGAGAAACUACCAAGAUUGAGUCUGUUCGGGGAACUUGGAAUUCUCGGUGGAGGGGUGAAAUCCGUAGAUAUCGAGAGGAACGCCAAGCGCGAAGGCAGAGUUCUAGGACAUGACUGACGCUCAGGGACGAAAGCUAGGGGAGCAAAAGGG
This 254-nucleotide ribosomal RNA is filed under the name uncultured bacterium. RNAcentral's name for it is "partial 16S ribosomal RNA". It matches the Rfam family "Bacterial small subunit ribosomal RNA", at positions 524 to 776 of the family's 1533-position model. The record is from RNAcentral.